UACGUAGGUGGCAAGCGUUGCCCGGAUUUAUUGGGUUUAAAGGGUGCGUAGGUGGCCCUGUAAGUCAGUGGUGAAAUAUCUCAGCUUAACUGAGAGGGUGCCAUUGAUACUGCAGGGCUUGAGUACAGAUGAGGUAGGCGGAAUUGACGGUGUAGCGGUGAAAUGCAUAGAUAUCGUCAAGAACACCGAUAGCGAAGGCAGCUUACCAAGCUGUAACUGACACUGAGGCACGAAAGUGUGGGGAUCAAACAGG
RNAcentral lists this ribosomal RNA (253 nucleotides) under uncultured bacterium. Its description in RNAcentral is "partial 16S ribosomal RNA". It matches the Rfam family "Bacterial small subunit ribosomal RNA", at positions 524 to 776 of the family's 1533-position model. The record is from RNAcentral.